Molecule: ribosomal RNA, 547 nt
Filed under: uncultured bacterium
Lineage: Bacteria
Description: bacterial SSU rRNA
Rfam family: Bacterial small subunit ribosomal RNA
Source: RNAcentral
UAGGGAAUUUUUCACAAUGAGCGAAAGCUUGAUGGAGCAAUGCCGCGUGAACGAUGAAGGUCUUUAAGAUUGUAAAGUUCUUUUAUUUGGGAAGAAUGACUUUAGCAGGUAAUGGCUAGAGUUUGACUGUACCAUUUUGAAUAAGUGACGACUAACUAUGUGCCAGCAGUCGCGGUAAUACAUAGGUCGCAAGCGUUAUCCGGAUUUAUUGGGCGUAAAGCAAGCGCAGGCGGAUCGAAAAGUCUGGUGUUAAAGGCAGCUGCUUAACAGUUGUAUGCAUUGGAAACUAUUAAUCUAGAGUGUGGUAGGGAGUUUUGGAAUUUCAUGUGGAGCGGUGAAAUGCGUAGAUAUAUGAAGGAACACCAGUGGCGAAGGCGAAAACUUAGGCCAUUACUGACGCUUAGGCUUGAAAGUGUGGGGAGCAAAUAGGAUUAGAUACCCUAGUAGUCCACACCGUAAACGAUAGAUACUAGCUGUCGGGGCGAUCCCCUCGGUAGUGAAGUUAACACAUUAAGUAUCUCGCCUGGGUAGUACAUUCGCAAGAAUG